AGGUAGUGAUAUUUGGAGACAGGGUUAUUCUUGAAGAUCCAGUAGAGAGCUGGCCAACAUGCGAUUGCUUGAUUGCAUUCUAUUCCAAUGGGUAUCCCCUUGAAAAGGCAGAGGCAUAUGCAGCUUUGAGAAAGCCUUUCUUAAUUAAUGAAUUGGAACAACAGCACCUUCUUCAUGAUCGAAGGAAAGUAUACGAGGUAAGUUCAAACCCUUUUUACUAAUGUAUGAUUUUCCUAAGGCAUUAGUCAACAUGCAUUGAAGAAACACUUAUUAAAAUACGAAAAGAAUGAGUUUAUGAAAAUUACUGUUGUCUAGACUGUGGGAACUUGGGAGAUACCUGUAAUGCUUCUGAUGAGGGGAAACAGAUAGGAG
Molecule: non-coding RNA, 372 nt
Organism: Punica granatum (pomegranate)
Lineage: Eukaryota; Viridiplantae; Streptophyta; Magnoliopsida; Myrtales; Lythraceae
Source: RefSeq, a predicted model, not a curated record